This 2390-nucleotide long non-coding RNA is filed under the name Aquilegia coerulea. RNAcentral's name for it is "long non-coding RNA (ACOE_LNC000365)". Lineage: Eukaryota; Viridiplantae; Streptophyta; Magnoliopsida; Ranunculales; Ranunculaceae. The record is from RNAcentral.
GCGAAGAAAGGCUUCCUCGAUUCCAAAGGUAAGCCAAAUUUACUUUUAACAACAUAUAGAGUUUGAACAAAAUACAACAGAUUUUCAUAUGUAGAGUAAAAUCUAUUGAUAACUCAUUGUAUACAUUCAACAUGUACAUAUAGAUUACACUUGAAAAUAUUGAGCAAUGACCUAACACUUUGAGGUCAAUGCCUUUGUAUGCAUGCUAUCUCCACUAGUCUUGUUAAAUACAGAAAAGAUCAAGAGGAACCAAUGAAAUUAAAUCGUUAAUAGUUGAGUGUUCCUUCGACCUAGGCAACACUAAACCAGACUCGUACUACACAUGGAAUUUGGAGAACUUUCUCUUCAAAGGUACAGAUAUAAAACUUUGAUUAGGCUGAGGAUUACAAUUUUGGUCCCAAAACCACAGCUGCAGACCUUUGCCCUGUCUUGGAAUUCCAGCUCAGAUCUUAAUAUACAAAAAAACCAAUCAGAAUCUCAUGACCAAUAAAUAAAGGGAAAGAACAAGAAGAUAUAAAACAUAACCAAUCAGAAUCUCAUGACCAAUUAUACAAUCAGAAUCUCAAUGACGAAUCAGAUUAUGUUCAGAUAACCUUAAGGUGAGUCUCAACAAUUUUAGACAGAAUUGCACUUCUCAUUUCACAAGACACCCCCUUGAAAGAGUAUGUGUGCUGUAUACAUUAUCAUUAGUAGUAAUAUGUAUAUUCUAAGCGUCUGACAUGUUUCAUCUUUUAUCUUAUGUUACAGGGGUUGGUGAUUCAAAAUUGAAUUUUCAUUGUCAGAGUGCAAAAAUCAUCAACUCAUGCGAGCAGUAACAACAUGGCUAGUAUGGAUUUCCAGCUCAAAGGGGAUGGUCACUUUCAAGAAUACAUAUAGGUUAGAGUAUGUGCAUACUUAUGGUUAGAAAUCAAUUCCCUUGGGGAAAUAAUUGAAAAGUUUUUUAUCCUGCAAAUAUCUGAAAGGAAUAGGCCUUUAUAUAAUCUGUUUUCUAGAAUCUGUAAACUAUAAUUUUUCGUGCGUUGCCAUUUGAGAAUAUCAUUUAAUUUUAGUUUCCUAGCCUAAUUCAUUUAAUAGGUUGGAGUCAAUUUGUGAUAUAGAACUACGGCUAAAGAGUAAAACGGAUAAUUCAGUUGGAGUAGUAGUAUAGUUGAGUGUGUUUAAGUGUUUGUUCCGUGGUGAAAUCUCUUACAUGUUCUAUAUAUGGGCCAAGUAGUUCACCUUUCUUCUAGAUAGUUCAUCUCCCUUCAGUUCAUUUUCUACCCCCAAAUAUCCUUUACACCAAGAACAAUGUGGAUAAUCUGUUGGAAAGUUUUAAUCUCUAGGCUUCUUUGGCAUAUUCAAAGAUGCAGGCACGGCAACCUUCUCAGCAAAGAAGAUCUUCACCUUAAUCACUUUUGCCUAAUCUUCCCUUUGUCCCUUUUCAUGUUUUCACACUUGCACCUAUUGCACUUUCUGAUGAAGAAGAUAGAUUACACCCCUUCUGGUAGUUCUGAGCAUAACGGGAAUGUUCAUCACUUAGUUGUCCUAUGGACAAUCAUCUCCAUAUCAAAUGCUCCGUACCUUAUUUUUGUUUUCAUCCUACUUCCAUUGUUGUGUACACACUAUACAGUAGUAUGCAUGUAUGCUGGUAAAGCAUUGUAAAUUCAGGGAGCUUCUGAAUGCAGUACCAAAGGUGUCCAAAAGGUUUAUGAUCACCCCUUUGAUCUGGCCCAUGUUAUUCUCCCAGAUAUAUCGCUAUGAUAUUACUAAACUAUGUGUUGUGGCCUGUGAAAAAUUUAGAGGGGUCAUCAGUGUCGUAGAGAGUUAUUCUGUUUAUUGGACUGGGUGUGCUAUUUUGCUUGGUUCUGUGAAUCUUUCUACAUAGGAAAAGCCAAAAAGGCUUAAUGGAGCCAUUGCUGCUACUAUUAUCAGCUCUCUGUAAUCACAAUACUAGGAUCAUUUUAUCUACUUGUUGUGAUUGGAAACUAGUCCGGAAUUAUAAGUAAGGUGAGUUAUUUAGUGUGUACUUUUAUGUAUUAUGGCUUCCAAAGUUGCAACCUUUUCUUCACCAAAUAAAAAUUAACUUUUAUUUUGAAUCAAAAGCUUCCAUGGCUAAGCUAUCAGUUUCUCCAAAUAAAAAUUAACAUUUGAAUCAAAAGCUUCCAUGGCUAAGCUAUCAGUUUUAAGUUGUUCCAAGACAAAUUUCACCCAAAAAAAAAAUAUAUAUAUAUAUAUUGGUGUAUAAGGAAGAACAUCAGAACAACAACAACACAGAAAGCGUAAAUUGAUAAUUAAUUCAGAGAGAAAAUGUAACAUACCUAUUCAUAUUCAAUCGAUAAGACCAUAACCCUUCUUUUCUCUUUAAUCAUUUCUGGAGAGAGAGAGAGAGUUCAUGGCUUUGCUAUACAGUA